GACGAACGCUGGCGGCGUGCUUAACACAUGCAAGUCGAACGGAAAGGCCCUGCUUUUGUGGGGUGCUCGAGUGGCGAACGGGUGAGUAACACGUGAGUAACCUGCCCUUGACUUUGGGAUAACUUCAGGAAACUGGGGCUAAUACCGGAUAGGAGCUCCUGCUGCAUGGUGGGGGUUGGAAAGUUUCGGCGGUUGGGGAGGGACUUGCGGCUUAUCAGCUUGUUGGUGGGGUAGUGGCUUACCAAGGCUUUGACGGGUAGCCGGCCUGAGAGGGUGACCGGCCACAUUGGGACUGCGAUACGACCCAGACUCCUACGGGAGGCAGCAGUGGGGAAUAUUGCGAUAUGGGCGGAAGCCUGAUGCAGCAACGCCGCGUGCGGGAUGACGGCCUUCGGGUUGUAAACCGCUUUCGCCUGUGACGAAGCGUGAGUGACGGUAAUGGGUAAAGAAGCACCGGCUAACUACGUG
RNAcentral lists this ribosomal RNA (468 nucleotides) under uncultured bacterium. RNAcentral's name for it is "partial 16S ribosomal RNA". It matches the Rfam family "Bacterial small subunit ribosomal RNA", at positions 28 to 507 of the family's 1533-position model. The record is from RNAcentral.